UACGGAGGGUGCAAGCGUUAUCCGGAUUUACUGGGUUUAAAGGGUGCGUAGGUGGGUUGGUAAGUCAGUGGUGAAAUACUUUCGCUUAACGAAGGAACUGCCAUUGAUACUACCAGCCUUGAAUACAGUGGAGGUAGGCGGAAUGCGUCAUGUAGCGGUGAAAUGCUUAGAUAUGACGCAGAACACCAAUUGCGAAGGCAGCUUGCUACACUGUUAUUGACACUGAGGCACGAAAGCGUGGGGAUCAAACAGG
This 253-nucleotide ribosomal RNA is filed under the name uncultured bacterium. Its description in RNAcentral is "partial 16S ribosomal RNA". It matches the Rfam family "Bacterial small subunit ribosomal RNA", at positions 524 to 776 of the family's 1533-position model. The record is from RNAcentral.